GGGCGCGUAGCUCAACUGGCAGAGCAACUGACUCUUAAUCAGUAGGUUGUAGGUUCGAUUCCUACCGCGCUCACCA
This 76-nucleotide transfer RNA is filed under the name Paludibaculum fermentans. Its description in RNAcentral is "tRNA-Lys". It matches the Rfam family "tRNA". From Rfam's summary of the family: Transfer RNA (tRNA) molecules are approximately 80 nucleotides in length. Their secondary structure includes four short double-helical elements and three loops (D, anti-codon, and T loops). Further hydrogen bonds mediate the characteristic L-shaped molecular structure. tRNAs have two regions of fundamental functional importance: the anti-codon, which is responsible for specific mRNA codon recognition, and the 3' end, to which the tRNAs corresponding amino acid is attached (by aminoacyl-tRNA synthetases). tRNAs cope with the degeneracy of the genetic code in two manners: having more than one tRNA (with a specific anti-codon) for a particular amino acid; and 'wobble' base-pairing, i.e. permitting non-standard base-pairing at the 3rd anti-codon position. The record is from RNAcentral. Lineage: Bacteria; Pseudomonadati; Acidobacteriota; Terriglobia; Bryobacterales; Bryobacteraceae. RNAcentral also lists the same sequence under 13 other names.